ACAGCAACUAUGAAGAAGAAAACUCUCGCCUUCUCCCUCGAGCACCAGAACAAAACUCUCGAGCAAAUUUCUUGCCGGAUCUCCCAUCUCUCUAAUCAAAAGCCAAUCUCCAUCUCUCAUCUCUCAUCUCUCUUCGACAAACGCAGAACCACCUAUCCCCAUCUCUAACUCUUCAAUAAAUACAGCCAAACCAUCCAAACUAGCCAAACCAUCUCAGUCUCUCGAAACCAGUCAAACGUAUUGGUUCCCUAUUGUUGACUCAUCUCGGAGCCCCUUUUGCUUGAUCGACUCGAGUUCUCUCUGGUCCUUCUAGAUGAAGAACACACCCAAAAUACCAAAUCCCCAAAUCCAUCUGUGACUAGCGAAUCUGGAAUUCAGGAACAUCGCACUCAAACUCAACCCCAAAAGUCAACAACGCAAGGUUAUCCAUCUCUCCUCUCGCCAUCGCCACCCAUUUCUCUUUUGUCGCUCGCACACGCUUAAUUAGUUUGGGUCUACUUCUCGCUCGCAAUCGCUCUCAAGGUUCUCCAUCUCUGCUUUACAUUCUGCUUCAUUUAUAGAUCUGGUUUGUUUUCCCUUGAUUUCUGGAUAUAGUUUGGUUUGUUUUCAAUCCAGUUUGCCUAGGGUUUAUAUGAUUGCAUUUGGGUUACAAGAUUGGGCUUUUUAUUUAGUCAUUUCCCUCUCUCUCGACCCCUCAAGCUUGUUAAAGCUUCAAUUUUUGUGGAUUGUAUGUUUCAUUGCUAUCAUAUCUAUUUGGAUUUUUCUCUCUCUUCUUUUUUGCCUGGUUGUAGGUUGAAUUGUUCUGGUGAUGCUGAUUGAAAUUACUCGUGAAUAUGUAUUUGAGGUAUUGUAACAUUUCUACAUUCCCCCAUGUUAUUAGUUAUCAGAUUAGGUAGUUCUGAUGUUGACUGAUCGAGCAUCGCCGUAGCCAUUUGUCAUUCAGAAUACAAACAAGUAGUAACUCCGAUCCAGCAGGUGUGCUCAUUUUUAUCUACCACCCCAUUUUUAUUUUGACAUAGCAAAGUCUUUUACUCUUCUUAUGGUGGUUUAAGGCUGCAGAUUGUUUUUGCAUAUUAGUAAGUUUGCAUCCAAUAGAUGCAGACUGUUUUUGCAAGGCGGAUUGAUAUCUAGUGAUGUCAAGUGAAGGUCCUCUUGGUGCUUAUGUGAACCCCAGUGGUUAUUAACACGAGAUAGUGGCUCUCUACGCAACUGGCUUAGCACUCAUAGGUUCAACAGUGAAAGAAUACAGCUGAUUUCCUAGGUAGGACCUUACCUUUGAAACCAUAUAGUGUGAUUCCAAGUUAUUCAGGGCUCAGACCUUUGCAUGAUGGAUGUGUUGGACUAUAUCGUUUGAUGCAUUUAGGUUGCUGGUGUUUCUGUUUUGUGUUGGGACUGGGUAGCUCAAGACUACAUAAUGAAGGUUCGAUGUUGGAUAAGGAGUCCAGAAGUUCAAAGCGGGCGACAAAGUUGUAGCAUUUCACCAUGUGAGAAGAGCCUCUGCUUCAGAAUUGGAAUGAACAGAAGUAGUAGAAGAAAAUGCUAAUUAACAACUGAAGCUGCUCAAGGGACAAGGUUGUGUUAACUACUUGUUUCUAUGUACUUAUUAUGUUAAGAUAAUGUAUUGAUGACUUGUACAUUUGGAGUUGUUAAUAUGAAAAGAUCAAUAUAUAUAUAGUUAUAUACAUAUGAAACUUUUUCUUUGCCAA
This is a long non-coding RNA of Rosa rugosa (rugosa rose), 1706 nucleotides long. RefSeq lists it as uncharacterized. The transcript has 5 exons. NCBI's taxonomy places the organism in Eukaryota, Viridiplantae, Streptophyta, Magnoliopsida, Rosales, Rosaceae. The record is from RefSeq and is a predicted model, not a curated record.